AUUGAACGCUGGCGGCAGGCCUAACACAUGCAAGUCGAACGAGUGGCGGACGGGUGAGUAAUGUCUGGUAAACUGCCUGCUGGAGGGGGAUAACUACUGGAAACGGUAGCUAAUACCGCAUACCAUCGGAUGUGCCCAGAUGGGUUUAGCGAGUAGGUGGGGUAACGGCUCACCGAGGCGACGAUCCCUAGCUGGUCUGAGAAGAUGACCGGCCACACUGGAACUGAGACACGCUCCAGAAUCCUAAGAGAUGCAGCGGUGGGGAAUAUUGGACAAGGGGCGAAAGCCUGAUGCAGCCAUGCCGCGUGUAUGAAAAAGGCCUUCGGGUUGUAAAGUACUUUCAUCGGGGAGGCGUUACCCGAAGAAGAAGCACCGGCUAACUCCGUGCCAGCAGCCGCGGUAAUUC
This 406-nucleotide ribosomal RNA is filed under the name uncultured bacterium. RNAcentral describes it as "partial 16S ribosomal RNA". It matches the Rfam family "Bacterial small subunit ribosomal RNA", at positions 30 to 526 of the family's 1533-position model. The record is from RNAcentral.